RNAcentral lists this ribosomal RNA (480 nucleotides) under Halomonas sp. M15-C14. RNAcentral's name for it is "bacterial SSU rRNA". It matches the Rfam family "Bacterial small subunit ribosomal RNA", at positions 1 to 478 of the family's 1533-position model. The record is from RNAcentral. Lineage: Bacteria; Pseudomonadati; Pseudomonadota; Gammaproteobacteria; Oceanospirillales; Halomonadaceae.
UUGAGYUUGAUCMUGGCUCAGAUUGAACGCUGGCGGCAGGCCUAACACAUGCAAGUCGAGCGGAAACGAUGGAAGCUUGCUUCCAGGCGUCGAGCGGCGGACGGGUGAGUAAUGCAUAGGAAUCUGCCCGAUAGUGGGGGAUAACGUGGGGAAACCCACGCUAAUACCGCAUACGUCCUACGGGAGAAAGCAGGGGAUCUUCGGACCUUGCGCUAUCGGAUGAGCCUAUGUCGGAUUAGCUAGUUGGUGAGGUAAUGGCUCACCAAGGCGACGAUCCGUAGCUGGUCUGAGAGGAUGAUCAGCCACACUGGGACUGAGACACGGCCCAGACUCCUACGGGAGGCAGCAGUGGGGAAUAUUGGACAAUGGGGGAAACCCUGAUCCAGCCAUGCCGCGUGUGUGAAGAAGGCCUUCGGGUUGUAAAGCACUUUCAGCGAGGAAGAAGGCCUGAGGGUUAAUACCCUUCAGGAAGGACAUCAC